Molecule: long non-coding RNA, 3635 nt
Filed under: Schizosaccharomyces pombe (fission yeast)
Lineage: Eukaryota; Fungi; Ascomycota; Schizosaccharomycetes; Schizosaccharomycetales; Schizosaccharomycetaceae
Source: RNAcentral
UUUUGUUACCGCUAUGGCUUUGCAGCGAAUAAACCACCAGGUUUCGAUCUAGCUAUUAUUAAUAUUUGCUUAUUUUCCAGAUUCUUUCUAUAUCGUUUCCUUAUGUUUCAUACUUUGUGUAAGUGAUGGUUGCUUCCUUCAUAUUAUUUUGAGAUUUUGAAACAUUUAAAAUGAUAUUGCUUAUACAAAUUUAUCGAGAUUUAUUGUACGACUAAAAAUGAACUAUACAACAUUCCCCCUGUUCAUCUUUCGUUAGUGUUAUUAGCAAUCCUGUCAGCGAGAACGAAGUAUUGCUCGACUCUUGAGAAAAAAUAAGAGUGGCUUGUUUCUGUGCUACUUGAUUAGUUCGUUCAGUUAAGCGUAAUAUAAUUUGUAUAAAAAAAACCGAAGAAACCCAAUAACCGCAAAGGGUGCAUUACGGUUCACACGUCUUUUUUUAUAGUCGAACGACGUCUUUAUGUUUAACAACUCUUGUGUAAUCCCUUUUUGUUUCUUUAAUUUACUAAUUUAAUCAUCAUGCAUUCCAAAGAAAGUGGAUGGAUUAACUCAAUAUCGUUUUCUCAUCAAAUACGAUUCUAAUUAACUGGUCAAAGAGUGUUAGAUGUCACAGCGUAUAGCAAGUUGAUUAAUAACGGUUAGUGCCAGUUUCUACUUCUUUUUACUGAAAAGAUGUUUGUUGUUAUUAUAUCAAUCUAGCUGUGUUUAUCGACGUUUUAUCUUUUGUUUUCAAUGACAAUUUAUUAACAAAAUAAGAAAUAAAAAAGGCAUACGAACAGUGGUUGCCGUCCUGCACAAAUCGUUGAACUGCUUAAAGUUUAAACUUGUCAUGUGCUUCAAAAUUCUGCGUGGAUCACGUUCAUUAAAUUAUAUUGUGCACUUAAGAUGUGUAUCAAAGUUGAUACAGUGGAGCACUUUUGAUUUUCAAAAAAUUUAGUUUCCGAAUUUAAUAACCAGCUUGAGUGUCUGUUAUGGACAUAAAAAAUAUAACGAGAAAGUGUGGUGAUCUAUGGGCAGGUCGAUGACUGGAUUCUGACUUAAAAUUCAAUUAGCAAACAAAUACUUCGGGAUGUCGUAUCCUAAUCCUUCAGCUGUCUUAAUGAAUAAAGAUCGGACGGCCCACAAAUUUUCGGAGAACUUUGAUGGUGUGCGAAUGAGCACGUUGUGCCCGUAACAGUCAAAAGGAGUAGUUGAGAAUUCAAUGUAACUAUUAUAAAGUUUAGUUACACGUUGGAUUUGCUCUCCUCGAAAUCCAAUGAGUUUUUUGUGAAUCUCCUCUGGAACGUAAAAGUGCAUCUCAGCUGGAAAUUCAAGCAACAUUGUGUUCAUUCCUUUAAUUACUCUUUCCAAUUCGUCACUAUAUAUAUCAACCGUGAAUAUACUCGUCGACUGGGGACAAAACAAGAUGUCCCCAUUCUUUAAGUUGAAACGGCAUUGCUGCUUUACCUUAUCCAGUUUUCCAUUUUUUUUACCGGAUAUGAAAUCUUGAUCCUUGGUUGGGGCUUCAAGCAGUAUCUGGUGCCAUUGGGAUUGUCCAAAUUUAUAAAAUAUUUUGCUUGCUUUAUCCAUUGCUAUAGGCACGGUGUUUUCUUGUCCGAAAUAUUCAAUCCCAUUGGUUUUUAGGAGCAUUUCGACUCCAGAAGCCAUGCAAAUUAUUGCAAUUUGAGCUACAAAUUCUGUUGGUGGAAUACUUAGCUUCUUAAGAGGAGAGAAUGACAUUUUUUCUCCUAUUCCAUUUGUUUCCACUAUGGAGCCAGUCGAGGAUACAAUAGAGGACAAUUCAGAGCUUGAAACUCCUUUUUCAAUUGUAGACGCUCUUCUCCAAGAACCAGCAACUCUCAGAAAGUCUUCGUUGUCUUCAACUCCAAACUGAGUUUUUCCUUGUACAUAUUUACUUGCAAGCUUUGCCAAUCGGAGUGCUGUUUUUUCAGAAUUCGCUAUAGAAGAUGAGUAGAUUUUGACUUUUGAAUUUUCUGGGCUCGUUUCUCCUCCUUCUUUGAAAUACUCAGGAAAGCGAAUAAACGAAGAAUUUUCUUCCAUAAUAAGCCGAAGCUCAUCCAUUUCGUAAGCGAGAAAUUCGAAAAGCUUAACAAAUGAAAUUUCUGUUACGUGAGUAAACAGUUUUAGAUGUUCUUCUGCGUAAUAAAACGCCUCUUCGAGUCUUUGCAAUUUUUCCUCUUCUCCUGUAAUAAUUAUUUUACUUGAGUUUAAGGCGGGUAAGGUUUGAAGCCGAGGGAUUGAGUCGCUGCAAAACGGUAAUGUAUAAAUAUUAAUUGAUUCAGUAGCCUUCAUUCCGGCAGUACUAGAAAAUGCUUUUCCAACGAGAAUUGGCUGAAAAGAUACAGAAGUUGCAAUAGCUACUACCGAUAAUCCUCUGAUUUCAUCCAUUAAUGCUAAUACGCGAAUUCUAGCAUGUUCAACGCUGCAAUAGUCACCAUAAAAGACAAUAAAAAAAGAAUUCUCUGCGUUCUUUUGACAUGAAAAUUCAUGCCUAGUAGACUCUAAAUGCCUUUGGUAGAAGCUUUGUUGUUCAUUUAAUCGAUUGCUGAAUCCGCUGUCAGUACGUAGCUGAAAAUCGAUAUCAUGACACAUGGAACGAUGCAUGAUAUAAAUUUUUGCUCCCGUUAUUUCCGUUAUUUUGUCCAAAUGUUUCAUAGUGUCUUCAUAAACGUACCCAUCUUCAUCAAAAAGGAGGUUUUCGAGGGGUUCUUCGAGCACAAGUUUGCUGAUUAGAAUUUUGGGAAUGGCUUGCAAAAUCUUUAUUUUUGCAGUGUACACAUUUUUAUAAUUUCCUGAAACAGUAACCACUAGUUCAUUGCGGGAAGAUGAUAUGCUCAUUCCUUUAUGUUUGACAUGUAGUUUUAUAUUAACUGGCAACUCUUUUUCUGUCUCAAUGCACUUUUCUUCGGUUAAUCUCCUAAUUUGAGAGUAAAUAUCGCUUUCAUAAUAGUCACAUUUACUAGCAUAAAGGGAUGCCUCUUCGGGAGGAGGUGUAGAUGGAUCAGGAAUUGGAAAUGCUAAAACAUGAGAAUCCAUUUUGGUGAUUUUAAGCACAAAAUUUUCUUAUUGUUAAAUCGUUUGAUUGGAAAUUUCGAAGCUUAGUGAAGAGUAAGUUUUUCGUGUUCGAAAGAAAGAUUAAAAGAAAUCCAAAGGAAUGAUAAACGAUAUAGGUUUGAAUACAAAAUUAUUCCGAAAGUUACUUCUGAAGGGUUGGUUGUUGGUUGUGUUGUUGCUUCCGUGAAAGUUAUUGUUUAGCUUCCAAAUGUAAAUAAACAAUGAAUAAAUCUUGGAAUUGAUAUGCGAUUGGCAAUGAAUGAUAGCUUAAACUUUAAUUUUUUGCUGAAAAAUAAACAGAACGUUUUCGCAGAACGAUGUGUAUUGUACUAGUUUGACUGUGGAAUACAAGUUUGUUUAUGCAAAGGUAGACACAUAUAUAUAUACAGCACAUGACUCUAAGGUGAUGCACUAAUGACUAGGAAUACUUUUAACAUAACCAUCACAAUUUUGUAUUCUUUUUACUAAUUAGGAUGGCUGAUUUAUGAUCUGCCAAAGCCUCUUUAACUCAAAACAGUAUAUGAUUUGCCAUUGACAUUUUUUCAGAAAAGGGGGAAUAUGAUUAUAUGAUUGUGAAAUAUACG